UCUGGCGAAUUGAGGUGGAAACCCCCUCGCGGGGUAUUCAUUACCAGUUCGUCGGCCUAUAGUCGCUAGACCGCAGUAGGCAUCGAGCGCAGAAAGGAUAGAACGCUGGCAAGAAUGCUCGCCGAAGCGGUGGAUAGUCGGCGGAAUAUUCCGUACCUGCUCGCAGGUUAUGUUUAUUCCAGUUCGAUCUUUGAAUCCGCUGGCGAGUUUAUAGCGUUCUGGCGUCAGUGGCGUCCGGGACGGUCGACCGUCCGACCCGUCUUGAAACACGGACCAAGGAGUCUAACGUACGCGCGAGCUACUGAGUGGAAAACUCAUAAGCGAAAUAAAAGUAAAAGCCGUUUCGGACGGCGCUGGGUACGAUCCCGCGUGGUAUUUAUUUACCCCGGGCGCAGUACCAUCCCAUCCUGACCGCUCGUCGGUAGGGUGGAGAUUGAGUGCGUACGUUGGGACCCGAAAGAUGGUGAACUAUGCCUGAGCAGAGCGAAGCCAGAGGAAACUCUGGUGGAGGUUCGUAGCGGUUCUGACGUGCAAAUCGAUCGUC
Molecule: ribosomal RNA, 544 nt
Filed under: Longidorus soosanae
Lineage: Eukaryota; Metazoa; Nematoda; Enoplea; Dorylaimida; Longidoridae
Description: partial large subunit ribosomal RNA
Rfam family: Eukaryotic large subunit ribosomal RNA
Source: RNAcentral